ACAGAAUUCCAGUGUCGGAUAAAGGUCAGCACCGUGGCCUUGAUCUGGCCACUCAGGGCUCUUCUGCUGGGGCCCGGGCUCCAGGUCUGGUUUGCUGUGCGGUCCGGGCUGUGAAGGGUGGGCCUUCUCCCCUCCUUCACGAACCCAGAGCCUUCUGCCCUAGACGAGGACUGGCACUGGGACUCUCCGUGCGGUUUCCGGUCCCAGGGUGCAGCUGGCUUCCCAGGCAGCGGGGCAUUUGCAUGAGAAAGCCUCGCGGCGGCUUUCUUCACGCGGGAACCUUAUCAUUUCCAUCAAGGGCAUUUUUUGGGUAUUAUUAUAUUCCUUCCCUCCUGCCCCUCCUCCUCCCACUCCUGUUGAAAGCCACUUUUAACUAAAUGGAGUCAAAUGAAAGCCAGAUUAGCUGCUUUGCUUUUCUCAUGGCUGAUAAUGAUUUAAUGCUAUGUUUGUCUCGAUUUAGAAAUAAAUUAAGGCGCCUUUUAAAAUCGUUGCUUCAGGUUCUAAGAGGUUGGAGAAAACAACCAUUACGUUUCCCUUAACAACCUUUCCUACCUCCUCCUGUACGCGGUCGAGGUACAUUUGUUGGUCUGACCCCCAGCGGUCUGAGCGUAGUGGCUUCACAGAGAGACAGGAGAGGGAGGAGGGACUGGCCAAGGACACCAAGGAUUGCCGGAAGGCACCAGAAUCUAGGACGGAGGCCUGGGACCCAUUCUCCCUCAGAGCCUCUGGAAGGAAGCAGCCCCGCCCCCACACACCUGCCAUUGGGACUUGUGGCCUCCAGGGCGGUGGGAGAGUGAAAGUGCCUUGUUCCAGGGCCACUGACCCCGUGGUAGUCGGUUGUGGCAGCCCCGGGACACGAACACGGAAGGAGUUCUGGGGCCCACACGGCCCGGGGGGUCCGGAUUUCUGGUCCCUGGGUGGGGGGAGGGGCGGUGUGGAUCUGAGGAGUGGCCCACGGGCAGGGGGCACUUUGGUGCGUGGGGAGAAGCCCCGGCGUGGCCGUCCUCCCCGCAGAGGCGGCUCUGGCAGGAGCAGCCUCCACUUGUCUGUCCCCGUUUGUCAGCCGUCCCGAGCUCAUCUGUGCCUCAAGGAUUUCUGGCAUUUCUCUGCCAGACUUCAGCCGUGAGAUGACCGCGUGCCGGAGCGACGCGCUCCUCCCCGGGAGGGAGGGUCUCCGGGACCAGGGUUCUGACCACAUUUAAGGGAAGAGAGAAGGAAGAGGCUCCUUUCGUGCCGACGUUCAGACGUGCAGGGAGAAGAGGCCUGGAUCUGCGCUUCCUCCUCUCUCCCUCCUGGGCCCGGCCGGACACCGCCUCCUGGCUGCUCUCCUUGCUUGCACAUGGCCCGCCAGCUCAUGCCCCCGGCGGGCAGCGAGACCCUAGGAAACCCAAACCUGGUCCCAGGGCCUCCCUUGUACACCUGUCAGUGGGGAGGACGGCGACGCUGUCUCAGGCCCGAAGUCUCUGAACUCCCUCCCACGUCAUCCACACUUUCCCUCACCCCUUGGCUUCCCUCUGGGGGUGCGAGGACCACGGACCAACCCUGCCCAUAUGUCUGCUCAGCAGACCCUCCUUCGGGGGCCUCUCUGGGCAUGCUCAGUCCUCGCUGUCAGGUGGGGUCCUCCGUCCUCCCUGUGAGGUGGGGUCCUCCGUCCUCCCUUAGAAGUGGGAUCCCCUGUCCUCCCUUUGAGGCGGGGUCCCCCGUCCUCCCUUUGAGGUGGGGUCCCCUGUCCUCCCUUUGAGGUGGGUUCCUCCGUCCUCCCUGUGCGGUGAGGGUACUUGCAUAGGUGAGGCCAGGGUCAGACAUUCACCUUCACCGGAGGAAGGUCAGGUCUGUGGCCUCAGGUGCUUUAGGGGAUCUGACGCGUCAGGGCCGUGGGUGCUUUUCCUGGUUGGCCCCCUGGGCUGUGUGUGAGCCCACCUGCACGUCCUGGCUAGGUGCCCCCUUUGGGGCGUCUUGGAGCAGGUCUGUGUCCCAAGGGAGCAGGCAUGGGGGACGGCAGGGAAGGCCUGCCCACAGCUGCCCUCCUGGGCGCCGCCCUCUGAGAGCCCCCUGCGUCCCAGUAGGACUGUGACCGGUGGAUCCCACAGAACAAACAGUGGACACGCCGCCACUUUGUCACAAGGGCCCCCUGACAGCCUCCUCGUGUCCUGGUCCGGCUGCUCUGCUUCCGGAAUAGUGGCCAACACCAAACCCCUCCAAACCCCUGGCCUCGUUCACUCAUCGACUGACAGAUCACAGAGCCCGGCUUCCCUCCACACCUUCUCUCUGGACUCGCUGUCUGGGCCUCAGGGACCUCCCCCCCCCUCCCCCCCCAGGGAACCGUACUUAACGGGCUGGGAAACUGAGGCUCAGUGGCUUGUCAGAAGCCUAGGCCACCCACCCACGUCCACGUCCUGGGUCCUUCCCCCGGCGCUGUGUUACAACGGGACGCACGGCGCCAGCGACCGGAAGCGGUGGGAGGGGAGGGAGUGCCCCGUUGACGUCACCAGGUGCUGGUGCUCUGGACCUUGCAGCCCGCCACCCCCCCGUCCCUGCUUCAGGUGCUGCCGGCAGGAUGCGGUCCCUGCUGGGUCAGCCUGGCCCUUACCCCGGUCCUGCCUCUGAGCCUCCUCCAUGGCAGCUUUGGGCCUCACUGGGGGGUCUGGAUGCAUGUGGUGCCCACUGGUAGGAAGGGGCCUGUCUCCCUCCAGCCGCCCCGUCCCCCGCUCCUGGUCCCCACUCUCUGCCGACGGUCACGCUUGGCUGUGCCCCAAGAGGCCCGGACUCGGGGGCGUCCACCGUGUCGCCAACCCGCUCUGUCUUCCUGCGUGGCUGCGCUUGGCGGUGGGUGGCCAAGAACGUGUAGGAACCUUCCGUAUGAACCAGAUGUGGAAAACUGAGGCUCAGAGAGGCUCCGUCCCCUCAGCCUCGGGGCCUGCCUGCUCCCCGCACCCAGGGCAGAGCUUUCUGUGUGGAGCCAGGCCCCAGGGUCCAGGAGGGAGGUGACCAGCCAGUCUCUCUGUGUCCUGGGGAGGCCCUGCUGGUUCCCCCCUCCGUCUGGCACUGGCUGGCAUGUCUGCUCACUUCCCAAGCACGAGGAGGUACCCGGCCUCCGAGGCCUCCUGACACUCACUGGUUCCAGCUCAAAGCCCCCUCAUUGUGUCCCGAUAGCUCCAAGCUGACGUGGCUGCCACUGUCUGUGACGUGUCGCCCAGGGACAUUCCCCUCUCUCCUUAGAGUUAUUACCAGUGUGUGAAUCUGGUCUUGGGGAAGAUGCUCACGCCUGCCUGCCUGGGUCAGGGUGGCCCCGCUCCCUGCUGUCCCCACGGCCAGUGCAUAGAGCAGGUCCCUCGGAGGCAGAGGAGAAGCAGCCUGCCCUACUGGUCUGAAAGGUCCCCAGUGUGGAGCAGGGAGGGGGAGGGCGACCCUGGCCGCUGCACUCCAAUGUCCCCUCCUCACCCCGGCCCAGGGGACUGGCCAACCUCUGAGCCCCAGCUUCCAGGUCAGCAAGCCCUGAUGAGCCCUUCCCGGACAAUAGUAGCAUCUUCGUCACUAGGCAGGCCUCUGUCCCCUCAGUGCCCACCACUCACCUGUCUGAGCCUUGACUUUCUCACCUGUAAGGUGGGACAAUAGCAGUGCCUGCUCACAGGGGCUCUGAGGACAUGUGUUUGGGGCUGUGUCCAGCACGAGAGUAGGAGAGGCUGGCCAGGCAGGGCGGUGCCGGCAGGUGGCAGGUGCCACGCAGGAGGGGAGGCCCACCUGCCCCUGCAGCCUGUUGCAGUGGGGAGUGGGGACAGGACAGAUGGGUCAGCUCGGCCUCCCAGAAUACCAGCUGUGCUUCCCAGGCUCCCCCCACCCCCGGGGUAGGAAGGGGAGAGGCCUUUGCACACCCCAGCAGGCCAGAGCUUUGAGGAGGCGGGUUAAUGCAGGGUGAGUUCCCGUCCGUCACCUGCAAUGACCCGUUGUGAGAGGACGCUGAGAAAACAGAGACAAAAAUCAAUGAGGAUUUGGAAACAGACAUUGCUGGAAACAGUUUAUUUCCAGAAGCAGCGUGGUCUGGAAGAGAUCUGAAGUGUCGGCCCCGAGGGGGGCCUGGGACAGACUGGAGAGAGGGGCCCCGGUCCCCAGCGAGGGACUACCUCACCCGGAGCCUCUCCCUGACCCGCUCUGGGCCCCGGGCAGGGCCUGGUCUUCAGCCGGGAGGUCGCUGCUGCAGGUGUCCUAGGCUGGGGGCCUCUAGGCAGAGACGACUGUAGGCUUUAGGAUGCGGGGGGCAGAUGGGAGGGUGGGGAGCUCCCAGCGCCUGCCAAUCUCCCCGGGCGUGUGGGCCGGCAGGGCAUCAAGUGGUAUUUAUGACUCUGCUGGGAGGCUGUGUGAGUUGAUCGGUUUGUUCGUUCAUUCGUUCGUUCGUUCAUUUGUUCAUUCACUCAUUCAUUCAACAGCUGUGUCUCAGGGAUCUCUGAUGUGCUGGGUGACGUCCAUCCGCCCCAGACUCUCCGUUCUAUUUCUGUAUCCCUGGAACACAGCCCAGUCAUCACUGCUCACUUACAGUCCCCGAGGUCAGUGUGCUGAUGGAGGUGAGCCCUGGGUUCCCCGAGUGUCAGGCAGAGGGUGGCCCUGGUCUGCCUGGGGUGCUGUUAGGAGCCGCUCACUGCUCUUCCUGUCUGCACCCCAAACCCUCCCUAGGCUCGGGGAGAUGAUGCCCUGCGGGGAGGAAUGUCACUGCUUUUUAAGGCGUAUUAGGCUGAGAAGUGGGCACCCCCGUCAGGGCCCAUGCCGGGUGCCUCUGUAGCUCUGUGGAUGGAAAGUGACAGCUAGUAUUUCUGAAAAGAAUUCUGUCAAGACCACAGUACAUCAAGGGCCCUACACAGGCUUAUUAAAGUGGAGCCACUGAAUAAUUUUCCCAGAAUAAUAGCAUUUCUUAAGGAUUGUGAAUGAGCCCCGGUCUCUCUUUAGCUGCCACGAGCCAGAAAUGUCCGGGGGUGGCUCCAGGGCACCAUUUCAAGCUGCAGAGCCCGUUAGGUUCCCCUGGGAACACGGAGGCGGGUGCGGGCAUCAGAGUUACCCUGGCAGGCUCCGGGGUCGUGUGGAGAUUAAACGCGAGCGGAGACUGCAGUUUCCAGGUGCUCGCUCACAGGUAUCUUUAAGACGCCCUGUGCGCAACAGCUGAGGAAGCGGCAGGUGCCGGGGCUGCGGUACUGAGGAGACUGGGAAAGAUGUAUCCCGCUGGGUCUUUGGAUUUGUCGGCUUGGACAGGGGGGCUGGGCUUUGGCCAGGGGCCUGGGCACUUCUGAGAUUCUGAUCAGCUUUCUCCAGGGUGUGGGGGCUGGGGCUGGGUGGGGGGCACAGCUGUCUGACUCCAGUCACCCUUUCCAGGUAGAGGGAGGAGCUGAGCUGGGUCCCCAGCACCUGCAGGAGACGUUAGCUGCCUGGGGUGGGAAAGUUUAAUGCCCCCCCCCCCCGCCUUUGAGGAUGUGCACCUGCCGGGGGGAUAGGAAUAGCUCCUUCUCCCCCAAGCCCAAGCACUUGAACCCAGGUCAGUGAGGUCAGCAAGAGGCUAAACCCUGAGCUCGUCAGCCUCUGAGAGCCUGUGGUUCUGAGACCCCCUCUGUGCAGGGAGAAAGUCAGCCAGUCAUUGUCAGGCCCAGGCUGGACGUGUGUGGAGGCGGGGACAUUUCUUCCCCGUCACAGAUGGCUCUGUGGGUGUGUGACUAUCCAGUCGCACGGGGCUCCCUGCUUGGGGGGGCUCCCUGCUUAGGGGGGGCUCUCUGCUUAGGGGGGGGCUCUGCACUCGGUUUAAUGCUCUAUUGCUGUUUUGAAAUGUGGAAUAAUUGUUCCGCAAGGGGUUCCAGGCUUUUAGUCUGCACAGGGCCCUGCAGACUCCCUAGCCAAUCCUCCCUCUCACUCCCCUGGGGUGGGGGUGGGGGCAGGGCUCCCCCAGGCGGGUGUCGUGAACCCCUGAUGGGAGCGUUUGGGAGGACCUGCGGGCCCGUGCAGCUCAGCCUGUCCCCGCUGCCCUCUCUUCUCAGGACUCACCAGCCUGCGGUGACCCGUGUGCCGGGCUGCUCGCCCCUCCCUGUGACAGGAUCCCAGGCGAGCCUGGUAGUCUGUCCUCACGACAUCAGCUUCGACUAAACCGUGAACUUCCGUGCCAUCAGAGGUGCAGCCUGAUGGGGACCAUGUCCGGGAGCUGCCUCAUUCAUCAGCGGGUACAGCAAGGUGGCCCAUCCGUCCUGUGGAAAGACAGACAAGGCGCUCACAUGAGCUACAGCACGGAAGAGUCUUGAAAACGUGGUUCCAACAGGAGGAAAAUCAGCUUCUGGCGACUGUGAGAUGAACUCACGGGCAGGACGUUCGCCCCCUACCUCCCCAGGAUGGACGGGACUGGGAGUCUCUGGAAUCAUCCACGCUGGAGUCGCCUCGGAACCUUCGGGAGGCCGGAAACAAGAGAUUCGAGCUGAGUGUCCGGGAAAGACAAUCCGCCAUGGAAUGUACCGGCCUGGUGGAAGGACAGGAAGCUGCCCAGGAGCCGGCGGGCCCACUCACCCACCCAGCUCAGGUCAAGCCUAAGUCCUGCACAGGUGCAUGUGAUCGGUGGAAUCUACAGCUCAGCUUGAACUCAAGCUGCAAAGGGUUCUGGGAAAUGUAGUUCUUAGCGUUGCAGCUUCCAUAGUCCAGGAAGGCGUGCUCCGACUCUGAACAGAUGGAGAGAGCCAGCGCCCCGUGGCCACACACAGCCCAUAAUCCCUGGACACUGCGCUUUCCAAAGGGUGGCAUGGGCUACAUACCACGUUGUCCUGAUCUCCCACCCUGCCGGAGCAGGGGGGAAGUUGGCCCCUAAAACUCAGGACAGAAGGUAAGAGGUUAGGGCCGGACUGGUGUCAGCAUCUUAGCUACUGCUCACUCCUUAGCACUGGGAGCUUCUGUGACCUAUCAAGUUUGCCAUAAACUCACCGGAUGCGGAUUUUGUCACUCGUA
Molecule: long non-coding RNA, 6960 nt
Organism: Felis catus (domestic cat)
Lineage: Eukaryota; Metazoa; Chordata; Mammalia; Carnivora; Felidae
Exons: 4
Source: RefSeq, a predicted model, not a curated record